UACGUAGGGGGCGAGCGUUGUCCGGAUUCAUUGGGCGUAAAGAGCUCGUAGGCGGCUUGGUAAGUCAAAUGUGAAACCUCCAGGCUCAACUUGGAGACGCCACUUGAUACUGCCAUGGCUAGAGUCCGGUAGGGGAUCACGGAAUUCCUGGUGUAGCGGUGAAAUGCGCAGAUAUCAGGAGGAACACCGGUGGCGAAGGCGGUGGUCUGGGCCGGCACUGACGCUGAGGAGCGAAAGCGUGGGGAGCGAACAGG
Molecule: ribosomal RNA, 254 nt
Filed under: uncultured bacterium
Lineage: Bacteria
Description: partial 16S ribosomal RNA
Rfam family: Bacterial small subunit ribosomal RNA
Source: RNAcentral